GUGUUGGAAAUUUGUCUGGCCGAAGAUACAAAUCCAGAAGGAUAGUGUGGGGAACAAAACACGGGCAAAUAAAUCAGCUGAGUUGUCCUGCAAAGAGCUGCAAUACCAGUUCAAGUGGAGAUACUGAAGUGGACUCAGAUGACAAAAUAAUAUUACAACACAGUCCUACAACAAGACGAAGAGUUGAAGACACCUCUCUUGCCAAAGUGGUUGCUGUCAUUGGUGAGGAUGCAUCAUCCGUUGAAGGUCAUGUGAAUGUCCUGCAUAUCCAGUACAGCAAGGUGCGAGAGGAUAUACUAAAGAAGUACCCUUUCUUGAAGACAACCUCAGGGAUGUUUGAUGAAGUUGACUGAAUGCAUCCAUCACCUGUCAGUUUAAGCCAGCGCUUCAAGGACGGCGUUUACCAGAAUUGUGCCAAAGGUGCUUGAGCUUGUUCAAAGAAAAGCUCCAUUAGCCAAAGUCUCCAAAGAAGCAAGAGAAGAGAUGCUUGCAGAGGAUCUACUAGGUAUUGACAUAAACGUAAUCCUUGGUAAUCUUUAGUGUGUUUUAUAGUUCUUCUUUUUAGAAUUCGUAUCAAUAUUAUCUUAUCACAUUUAUGCAUUUUAUUUAAAUUAUUCAUUUAAACUUGGUUAUAAGUUUACUUUUUUAUUAUCUAUUUUUAGAAAAUGUAGAAUGCAGUAGAAAGAUGUACUUAAAAUGAGGUCUAGUGCUUCUUUUGUUAAUGUCACAAGUUUUAUUUCAUGGUUUAAAAAUGGUAACUGAAGUGCUAUGUCCUGUUUACAAUUGAUCAAAUGUUAAGGUUAUAGUUACAAUGAAUGCAAUGUGAACUGAAGGAAAAAUAUAGAUUUUUCAUUAUUGUAAAAUUGCUAAUAAUUGUAAAUAUAUGCAUCCUGUUGUGACACUGUACAUACUGUGAAAAGUUGUAUUGUCAGCAUUGUAAUUGUUUUGAAUGUUUAAUAAAUGUGAUAAACAGUA
Oryzias latipes (Japanese medaka) is the source of this 975-nucleotide long non-coding RNA. RefSeq lists it as uncharacterized. NCBI's taxonomy places the organism in Eukaryota, Metazoa, Chordata, Actinopteri, Beloniformes, Adrianichthyidae. The record is from RefSeq and is a predicted model, not a curated record.